AACGCUGGCGGCAGGCUUAACACAUGCAAGUCGAGCGGGCGUAGCAAUACGUCAGCGGCAGACGGGUGAGUAACGCGUGGGAACGUACCUUUUGGUUCGGAACAACACAGGGAAACUUGUGCUAAUACCGGAUAAGCCCUUACGGGGAAAGAUUUAUCGCCGAAAGAUCGGCCCGCGUCUGAUUAGCUAGUUGGUGAGGUAAUGGCUCACCAAGGCGACGAUCAGUAGCUGGUCUGAGAGGAUGAUCAGCCACAUUGGGACUGAGACACGGCCCAAACUCCUACGGGAGGCAGCAGUGGGGAAUAUUGGACAAUGGGGGCAACCCUGAUCCAGCCAUGCCGCGUGAGUGAUGAAGGCCCUAGGGUUGUAAAGCUCUUUUGUGCGGGAAGAUAAUGACGGUACCGCAAGAAUAAGCCCCGGCUAACUUCGUGCCAGCAGCCGCGGUAAUACGAAGGGGGCUAG
This 462-nucleotide ribosomal RNA is filed under the name Bradyrhizobiaceae bacterium D195b. RNAcentral describes it as "bacterial SSU rRNA". It matches the Rfam family "Bacterial small subunit ribosomal RNA", at positions 32 to 538 of the family's 1533-position model. The record is from RNAcentral. Lineage: Bacteria; Pseudomonadati; Pseudomonadota; Alphaproteobacteria; Hyphomicrobiales; Nitrobacteraceae.